GAUGAAGAACGUAGCGAAAUGCGAUAAGUAGUGUGAAUUGCAGAAUUCAGUGAAUCAUCGAAUCUUUGAACGCACAUUGCGCCCGCUAGUAUUCUGGCGGGCAUGCCUGUUCGAGCGUCAUUUCAACCAUCAAGCCCCCGGCUUGCGUUGGAGCCCUGCGGCUGCCGCAGGCUCCCAAAUCCAGUGGCGGGCUCGUCGUCGUACCGAGUGCAGUAAACAUCCUCGCUCAGGGAACGUGACGGGUUCUUGCCGUGAAACCCCCCACAUAUCAAGGUUGACCUCGGAUCAGGUAGGAAUACCCGCUGAACUUAAGCAUAUCAAUAAGCGGAGGA
RNAcentral lists this unclassified non-coding RNA (332 nucleotides) under soil metagenome. Its description in RNAcentral is "partial contains 5.8S ribosomal RNA, internal transcribed spacer 2, and large subunit ribosomal RNA". The stretch from base 1 to 120 matches the Rfam family "5.8S ribosomal RNA", at positions 35 to 154 of the family's 154-position model. The record is from RNAcentral.